UACGUAGGGGGCAAGCGUUGUCCGGAUUUAUUGGGCGUAAAGAGCGUGUAGGCGGCCAAGCAGGUCCGCUGUGAAAACUCGAGGCUCAACCUCGAGACGUCGGUGGAAACUGUUUGGCUAGAGUCCGGAAGAGGAGAGUGGAAUUCCCGGUGUAGCGGUGAAAUGCGCAGAUAUCGGGAAGAACACCCGUGGCGAAGGCGGCUCUCUGGGACGGUACUGACGCUGAGACGCGAAAGCGUGGGGAGCGAACAGG
This 253-nucleotide ribosomal RNA is filed under the name uncultured bacterium. RNAcentral describes it as "partial 16S ribosomal RNA". It matches the Rfam family "Bacterial small subunit ribosomal RNA", at positions 524 to 776 of the family's 1533-position model. The record is from RNAcentral.